GACGAACGCUGGCGGCGUGCCUAAUACAUGCAAGUAGAACGCUGAAGAGAGGAGCUUGCUCUUCUUGGAUGAGUUGCGAACGGGUGAGUAACGCGUAGGUGACCUGCCUUGUAGCGGGGGAUAACUAUUGGAAACGAUAGCUAAUACCGCAUAACAAUGGAUGACCCAUGUCAUUUAUUUGAAAGGGGCAAAUGCUCCACUACAAGAUGGACCUGCGUUGUAUUAGCUAGUAGGUGAGGUAACGGCUCACCUAGGCGACGAUACAUAGCCGACCUGAGAGGGUGAUCGGCCACACUGGGACUGAGACACGGCCCAGACUCCUACGGGAGGCAGCAGUAGGGAAUCUUCGGCAAUGGGGGCAACCCUGACCGAGCAACGCCGCGUGAGUGAAGAAGGUUUUCGGAUCGUAAAGCUCUGUUGUAAGUCAAGAACGAGUGUGAGAGUGGAAAGUUCACACUGUGACGGUAGCUUACCAGAAAGGGACGGCUAACUACGUG
This 497-nucleotide ribosomal RNA is filed under the name uncultured bacterium. Its description in RNAcentral is "partial 16S ribosomal RNA". It matches the Rfam family "Bacterial small subunit ribosomal RNA", at positions 28 to 507 of the family's 1533-position model. The record is from RNAcentral.